UGGAGGCAGCAGUGAGGAAUAUUGGACAAUGGGGGCAACCCUGAUCCAGCCAUGCCGCGUGAGUGAUGAAGGCCUUAGGGUUGUAAAGCUCUUUCACCGGUGAAGAUAAUGACGGUAACCGGAGAAGAAGCCCCGGCUAACUUCGUGCCAGCAGCCGCGGUAAUACGAAGGGGGCUAGCGUUGUUCGGAAUUACUGGGCGUAAAGCGCACGUAGGCGGAUAUUUAAGUCAGGGGUGAAAUCCCGGAGCUCAACUCCGGAACUGCCUUUGAUACUGGAUAUCUAGAGACCGAGAGAGGUAAGUGGAACUCCUAGUGUAGAGGUGGAAUUCGUAGAUAUUAGGAAGAACACCAGUGGCGAAGGCGGCUUACUGGCUCGGAACCGACGCUGAGGUGCGAAAGCGUGGGGAGCAAACAGGAUUAGAUACCCCGGUAGUCCU
RNAcentral lists this ribosomal RNA (437 nucleotides) under uncultured bacterium. RNAcentral's name for it is "bacterial SSU rRNA". It matches the Rfam family "Bacterial small subunit ribosomal RNA", at positions 343 to 797 of the family's 1533-position model. The record is from RNAcentral.